Carassius auratus (goldfish) is the source of this 390-nucleotide long non-coding RNA. RefSeq lists it as uncharacterized. The transcript is spliced from 3 exons. NCBI's taxonomy places the organism in Eukaryota, Metazoa, Chordata, Actinopteri, Cypriniformes, Cyprinidae. The record is from RefSeq and is a predicted model, not a curated record.
UGUUCCGAAGAUAAACGGAGGUCUUACAGGUUUGGAAUGACAUGAGGGCUGAAUAAUUACAGGCUGAUGGAGAAAAGCUGUUCAGUUCUAGCUACUGUUCUCUCCUCCAAAACCACCCUGAAAGAGAUAAACCUGAACAACAGUCGUCUGCUGGACUCAGGAGUCAAAGAGAUCUGUGAGGGACUGAAGAAUCCUGUGUGUGAGCUGAAGAUACUCAAUCUGUGUAGAUGCAGUAUUACAGGGAAACAGUGUCACAUCCUAACUUCAGCUCUGAAAUUAAACCCAUCACACCUAAGAGAACUGAACCUGAGUGAGAAUGAACUAAAAAACGCAGGAGUGGAUCACUUAUGUGACGUACUGAAGGAUUCACACUGUAAACUGGAGAGAUUG